CAGUCGCCGCGGGAAUACAGAGGGUGCGAGCGUUAAUCGGAUUUACUGGGCGUAAAGCGUGCGUAGGCGGCUUUUUAAGUCGGAUGUGAAAUCCCUGAGCUUAACUUAGGAAUUGCAUUCGAUACUGGGAAGCUAGAGUAUGGGAGAGGAUGGUAGAAUUCCAGGUGUAGCGGUGAAAUGCGUAGAGAUCUGGAGGAAUACCGAUGGCGAAGGCAGCCAUCUGGCCUAAUACUGACGCUGAGGUACGAAAGCAUUGGGAGCAAACAGGAUUAGAUACCCGAGUAGUCCCUGUCUCUUAUAC
RNAcentral lists this ribosomal RNA (301 nucleotides) under uncultured bacterium. RNAcentral's name for it is "partial 16S ribosomal RNA". It matches the Rfam family "Bacterial small subunit ribosomal RNA", at positions 509 to 807 of the family's 1533-position model. The record is from RNAcentral.